This 775-nucleotide ribosomal RNA is filed under the name uncultured Neocallimastigales. RNAcentral's name for it is "partial large subunit ribosomal RNA". It matches the Rfam family "Eukaryotic large subunit ribosomal RNA", at positions 24 to 639 of the family's 3401-position model. Lineage: Eukaryota; Fungi; Neocallimastigomycota; Neocallimastigomycetes; Neocallimastigales. The record is from RNAcentral.
UAUGUGAUCGUCUCUCGCAUAUCAAUAAGCGGAGGAAAAGAAACUAACAAGGAUUCCCCUAGUAACGGCGAGUGAAGCGGGAAGAGCUCAAAUUUGAAAUCUUAAAGGGUUUCCCUUUACGAAUUGUAGUUUAAAGAAGUGUUUUCUGUUGAGGUUUUGGUAAAAGUUCUUUGGAAUAGGACAUCAUAGAGGGUGAGAAUCCCGUAUUUGACCUUUACUUUCAACUUUGUGAUACACUUUCAAAGAGUCGGAUUGUUUGGGAAUGCAGUCCAAAAUGGGUGGUAAAUUUCAUCUAAAGCUAAAUAUUGGCGGGAGACCGAUAGCGAACAAGUACCGUGAGGGAAAGAUGAAAAGAACUUUGAAAAGAGAGUUAAACAGUACGUGAAAUUGUCAAAAGGGAAGCGUUUGACACCAGUGUUGUUUUUCUGAAAAUCAAUUAAAGAACUGUUUAUGCUAAGCUGUUUAGACUUUAUCAGCUAAUCUGUUUAGUUUUGAGCUUUUCUUUAAUGCACUUUUCAGUUAACAAGUCAACAUCAAUUUCUUUUGCUGUAAAAAAGCUUGAGGAAGGUGGCUUGAGAUUCGUCUUAAGUGUUUAUAGCCUCUUGCCUAUGCAGUCGGAGAGAUUGAGGUCUGCAGCGUAGAUCCUUCGGGGCUAAAUGCAUUUGUGCUAAGUUAUAGCAUUUUAUAGACAACUUGUUGACUAUGAUUUGUCUUGUAGCUUACUCGCUUAUGUUAUUUUACCUACGCUUAGGAUGUUGACGCGCGUGUGUGCGUG